RNAcentral lists this long non-coding RNA (1393 nucleotides) under Musa acuminata (dwarf banana). RNAcentral describes it as "long non-coding RNA (MACU_LNC002496)". The record is from RNAcentral. Lineage: Eukaryota; Viridiplantae; Streptophyta; Magnoliopsida; Zingiberales; Musaceae.
AAGGUGUAAACAGCAAUCAGCAAACAAAUGAGAGCUGAAUUCCAGCAUGAAUUUCUUAUCAAUAUAACAAGCUUUUCAUUCAAAUCUUUUGCCAGUGCAUAAAGGUCUAAAGUGGGGAGAAAAGAAAUACAUCUAAUAAUGCUAAUAUCCAAAGAACCACAGAGAUACAGUUAAGGUUAAAUGCUACUUUUGAAACUUAAGUACCAUAAUUACAGAUUUCAUCAAUAAAAACAGUCCAUAUCCAAUGCCGCUACUAGUUCCAUUGUUCAAUUAGAAAGACAUAAAACUUGGUGAAGAAUAAGCCUGACAAGGUGCAGUGAUCAAGAACAUAGAAAAGCAAAUAUGCUUCAUUUACAUCGGCCAUAGAGGAAGUGAAACAUACAAGGAAAAGAAAAAUGGCAGUAAAAGCGAUCAAAUCAGGAACCCAACCAUAGAUGAGGCGGAAGCUAAUUUCAUCAAUUAUGUAGAAUGCCAAAUACGAUGCAGCACAAGACCUACAAGGUAAUUGAAUACACGACUAUGCUACACGGAGCGCCCUGUACUACCAAACAAUCACAAUCUCUAUUUCUGUGAAUCGUGAAUAUAUCAAUAAGAUGCCUAUUGCUAGAAUACAACUUAUUGCAGGAUAAAAGAUAAUAAUAAUCUCUGUCUACCUAAUUUCAUCAAUUAUGUAGAAUGCCAAAUACGAUGCAGCACAAGACCUACAAGGUAACUGAAUUCACGACUAUGUUACACGGAGCGCCCUGUGCUACCAAACAAUCGCAAUCUCAAUUUCUGUGAAUCGUGAAUAUAUCAAUAAGAUGCCUAUUGUUCGAAUACAACUUAUAGCAGGAUAAAAGAUAAUAAUAAUCUCUGUCUACCUAAUUUCAUCAAUUAUGUAGAAUGCCAAAUACGAUGCAGCACAAGACCUACAAGGUAAUUGAAUUCACGACUAUGCUACACAGCGCGCCCUGUGCUACCAAACAAUCGCAAUCUCUAUUUCUGUGAAUCGUGAGUAUAUCAAUAAGAUGCCUAUUGCUCGAAUACAACUUAUAGCAGGAUAAAAGGUAAUAAUAAUCUCUGUCUUCACAUAUCCGCAACUCAUCUUCAUAAUGAAAGUUAGAUAGUUCAUCAUGGCAUCUUGCACCGAUUAGAGAAGUGUUCCUUUUAGUCACCAUGAGCAGAUGCCACAUAAUUGGGCGGUGCCGAGAGCAACCAGUCCCAGAGCCCAGAGGAGCUACCCGAUUAAACAAGACGAAUCGGGUGAACAAGAAAGGAAAAUAAUAAAAAGAAAGAGCCCAUCGGGCAUUUACUACAUAACGGCGUCCACAUAAAGAAAUUAAGCACUCCAACAGCAUAAGAAGAUAUCGAGCUGAACAGCCAGAUCUCCAAAACAGAGGCUGCUGCUGGUUCC